This 2639-nucleotide ribosomal RNA is filed under the name Klebsiella pneumoniae. RNAcentral's name for it is "bacterial LSU rRNA". It matches the Rfam family "Bacterial large subunit ribosomal RNA". The record is from RNAcentral. Lineage: Bacteria; Pseudomonadati; Pseudomonadota; Gammaproteobacteria; Enterobacterales; Enterobacteriaceae.
ACUAUCGUUAACUGAAUACAUAGGUUAACGAGGCGAACCGGGGGAACUGAAACAUCUAAGUACCCCGAGGAAAAGAAAUCAACCGAGAUUCCCCCAGUAGCGGCGAGCGAACGGGGAGCAGCCCAGAGUCUGAAUCAGCUUGUGUGUUAGUGGAACGGUCUGGAAAGUCCGACGGUACAGGGUGAUAGUCCCGUACACCAAAAUGCACAGGCUGUGAACUCGAAGAGUAGGGCGGGACACGUGGUAUCCUGUCUGAAUAUGGGGGGACCAUCCUCCAAGGCUAAAUACUCCUGACUGACCGAUAGUGAACCAGUACCGUGAGGGAAAGGCGAAAAGAACCCCGGCGAGGGGAGUGAAAAAGAACCUGAAACCGUGUACGUACAAGCAGUGGGAGCACCUUCGGGUGUGACUGCGUACCUUUUGUAUAAUGGGUCAGCGACUUAUAUUCUGUAGCAAGGUUAACCGUAUAGGGGAGCCGCAGGGAAACCGAGUCUUAACUGGGCGUUAAGUUGCAGGGUAUAGACCCGAAACCCGGUGAUCUAGCCAUGGGCAGGUUGAAGGUUGGGUAACACUAACUGGAGGACCGAACCGACUAAUGUUGAAAAAUUAGCGGAUGACUUGUGGCUGGGGGUGAAAGGCCAAUCAAACCGGGAGAUAGCUGGUUCUCCCCGAAAGCUAUUUAGGUAGCGCCUCGUGAAUUCAUCUUCGGGGGUAGAGCACUGUUUCGGCUAGGGGGUCAUCCCGACUUACCAACCCGAUGCAAACUACGAAUACCGAAGAAUGUUAUCACGGGAGACACACGGCGGGUGCUAACGUCCGUCGUGAAGAGGGAAACAACCCAGACCGCCAGCUAAGGUCCCAAAGUCAUGGUUAAGUGGGAAACGAUGUGGGAAGGCACAGACAGCCAGGAUGUUGGCUUAGAAGCAGCCAUCAUUUAAAGAAAGCGUAAUAGCUCACUGGUCGAGUCGGCCUGCGCGGAAGAUGUAACGGGGCUAAACCAUGCACCGAAGCUGCGGCAGCGACACUAUGUGUUGUUGGGUAGGGGAGCGUUCUGUAAGCCUGCGAAGGUGNCCUGUGAGGGUUGCUGGAGGUAUCAGAAGUGCGAAUGCUGACAUAAGUAACGAUAAAGCGGGUGAAAAGCCCGCUCGCCGGAAGACCAAGGGUUCCUGUCCAACGUUAAUCGGGGCAGGGUGAGUCGACCCCUAAGGCGAGGCCGAAAGGCGUAGUCGAUGGGAAACAGGUUAAUAUUCCUGUACUUGGUGUUACUGCGAAGGGGGGACGGAGAAGGCUAUGUUAGCCGGGCGACGGUUGUCCCGGUUUAAGCAUGUAGGCUGGUUGUCCAGGCAAAUCCGGAUAAUCAAGGCUGAGGUGUGAUGACGAGGCACUACGGUGCUGAAGUAACAAAUGCCCUGCUUCCAGGAAAAGCCUCUAAGCAUCAGGUAACAUNAAAUCGUACCCCAAACCGACACAGGUGGUCAGGUAGAGAAUACCAAGGCGCUUGAGAGAACUCGGGUGAAGGAACUAGGCAAAAUGGUGCCGUAACUUCGGGAGAAGGCACGCUGGUGUGUAGGUGAAGUCCCUGCGGAUGGAGCUGAGACCAGUCGAAGAUACCAGCUGGCUGCAACUGUUUAUUAAAAACACAGCACUGUGCAAACACGAAAGUGGACGUAUACGGUGUGACGCCUGCCCGGUGCCGGAAGGUUAAUUGAUGGGGUUAUCCGUAAGGAGAAGCUCUUGAUCGAAGCCCCGGUAAACGGCGGCCGUAACUAUAACGGUCCUAAGGUAGCGAAAUUCCUUGUCGGGUAAGUUCCGACCUGCACGAAUGGCGUAAUGAUGGCCAGGCUGUCUCCACCCGAGACUCAGUGAAAUUGAACUCGCUGUGAAGAUGCAGUGUACCCGCGGCAAGACGGAAAGACCCCGUGAACCUUUACUAUAGCUUGACACUGAACAUUGAGCCUUGAUGUGUAGGAUAGGUGGGAGGCUUUGAAGCGUGGACGCCAGUCUGCGUGGAGCCAACCUUGAAAUACCACCCUUUAAUGUUUGAUGUUCUAACGUUGGCCCCUGACCGGGGUUGCGGACAGUGUCUGGUGGGUAGUUUGACUGGGGCGGUCUCCUCCCAAAGCGUAACGGAGGAGCACGAAGGUUAGCUAAUCCUGGUCGGACAUCAGGAGGUUAGUGCAAUGGCAUAAGCUAGCUUGACUGCGAGCGUGACGGCGCGAGCAGGUGCGAAAGCAGGUCAUAGUGAUCCGGUGGUUCUGAAUGGAAGGGCCAUCGCUCAACGGAUAAAAGGUACUCCGGGGAUAACAGGCUGAUACCGCCCAAGAGUUCAUAUCGACGGCGGUGUUUGGCACCUCGAUGUCGGCUCAUCACAUCCUGGGGCUGAAGUAGGUCCCAAGGGUAUGGCUGUUCGCCAUUUAAAGUGGUACGCGAGCUGGGUUUAGAACGUCGUGAGACAGUUCGGUCCCUAUCUGCCGUGGGCGCUGGAGAAUUGAGGGGGGCUGCUCCUAGUACGAGAGGACCGGAGUGGACGCAUCACUGGUGUUCGGGUUGUCAUGCCAAUGGCACUGCCCGGUAGCUAAAUGCGGAAGAGAUAAGUGCUGAAAGCAUCUAAGCACGAAACUUGCCCCGAGAUGAGUUCU